AAAAAGCUCAUGUGACAGUAGCCACCUUUUGUGGAUGAGUGAAAUUGAAUGUAGAUAUUAGUUAUAAAGGAAUCCAAGUUCUGCUGGAGGAAACUAUGAGAACAGUAAUAGAAUUGUGAAAUUUACUGUUCCAUGUGUUCCUUAUACUGCCAAUGAAGCAAAAUUUAGAGCAACGACAAAAGGAGUUGAGUAUAUUCAACCACAUUUUUAUGAGAUUUGGUUAGAAGGGGAUUCAACAAAUAUUAUCAAUUGGUGUAUGGUAAGCUCAAAGUUCCUGGAGCUUGAGGCAUGGAC
This 294-nucleotide long non-coding RNA is filed under the name Amborella trichopoda. RNAcentral's name for it is "long non-coding RNA (ATRI_LNC001418)". Lineage: Eukaryota; Viridiplantae; Streptophyta; Magnoliopsida; Amborellales; Amborellaceae. The record is from RNAcentral.